GAAAGUAAACAAGGGCGCAUGGAGGAUGCCUAGGCUCUCGGAGGCGAAGAAGGACGUGAUAAGCUGCGAAAAGUUACGGUAAGGCGCAAAUAGCCCUAGACCCGUAAAUAUCCGAAUGGGGCAACCCGGCCAGCAAUGGCCAUACCGCCAAGCGGUAAGCCAACGCGGGGAACUGAAACAUCUAAGUACCCGCAGGAAAAGAAAAUAACAAUGAUUCCGCCAGUAGUGGCGAGCGAACGCGGAACAGCCCAAACCACCCGUGUUACGGCACGAGUGGGGUAGAAGGAUCCACGCUACGGCAAGAAAUAAGUUAGCAGAAUACGAUGGAAAUCGUAGCCAGAGACGGUGACAGCCCGGUACGCGAAAACGGACAGAAGCCCAGUGGACACCUGAGUAACCCAGGACACGAGAAAUCCGGGGCGAAUCAGCGGGGCCCAUCCCGUAAGGCUAAAUACUCCCGAGAGACCGAUAGCGAACCAGUACUGUGAAGGAAAGGUGAAAAGAACCUCGAACAGAGGAGUGAAACAGACCCUGAAACCAUGCGCCUACAAGCGGUCGGAGCAUGUUAAAAUGUGACGGCGUGCCUUUUGCAUAAUGAACCUACGAGUUACUCUCGCUGGCAAGGUUAAGCGAUUCAGUCGCGCAGCCGAAGCGAAAGCAAGUCCGAACAAGGCGUACAGUCAGCGGGAGUAGACGCGAAACCAAGUGAUCUACCCUUGGUCAGGUUGAAGGUUGGGUAACACCAACUGGAGGACCGCACCGAUAAGCGUUGAAAAGCUUACGGAUGAACUGAGGGUAGGAGUGAAAGGCCAAUCAAACUUGGAGAUAGCUCGUACUCCCCGAAAUGCAUUUAGGUGCAGCCUCGAAGUAAAGUGAUAGAGGUAGAGCGACUGAUAAGAUGCGAGGGCUUCACCGCCUAUCAAGUCUUGACAAACUCCGAAUACUAUCACUUGAUCUUCGGGAGUGAGGGCAUGGGUGCUAAGGUCCAUGUCCGAAAGAGGAACAACUCAGACCACCAGCUAAGGUCCCGAAAUAAGGGCUAAGUUGAAUAAACGAAGUAAAACUGCAAAGACAGCUAGGAUGUUGGCUUGGAAGCAGCCAUUCAUUUAAAGAGUGCGUAACAGCUCACUAGUCGAGGAGUUUUGCAUGGAUAAUAAUCGGGCAUAAGCCCUUUACCGAAGCUGUGGAUGUCGUAAGACAUGGUAGGGGAGCAUUCCGGCGGCGACGAAGGCCGUCCUCGAGGACGACUGGAGCUUUCGGAAAAGCAAAUGUAGGUAUAAGUAACGAUAAAGGGGGCGUGAAACCCCCUCGCCAUAAGACUAAGGAUUCCUGAUCAACGCUAAUCGGAUCAGGGUAAGUCGGGCCCUAAGGCGCAGCCGAACGGCGUAGCCGAUGGAAGAAACGGUAAAGAUUCCGUUACUGGAUAUAGGAGCGAUGUGGAGACGGAGAAGUGACACACCCGCCUGCCGACGGAAGCGCAGGUUAAAGGAAGUAGGUAAACGCCGGGUAGGCAAAUCCGCCUGGCGUGCCGAAGCUGACAGUAUCGAGAGCCCCCGGGCAAUCGAAUAGCGGUGGUAAUCAGGCUCCCAAGAAAAUCCGCUAAGCAUAUUCUAUAUCCACCCGUACCCCAAACGGACACACGUAGUCGGGUAGAAUAUACCAAGGCGCUCGAAAGACUCACGGUUAAGGAACUAGGCAAAUUGACCCUGUAACCUCGGGAAAAAGGGUCCCCAGUAAGAUGGGGCGCAGAGAAUAGGUCCAGGCAACUGUUUAACAAAAACACAGGGCUGUGCAAAAUUUCAAGAUGAAGUAUACAGCCUGACACCUGCCCGGUGCCGGAAGGUUAAGAGGAGAGCUAAUCGCAAGAGAAGGCUUGAAUUGAAGCCCCGGUAAACGGCGGCCGUAACUAUAACGGUCCUAAGGUAGCGAAAUUCCUUGUCGGGUAAGUUCCGACCUGCACGAAUGGUGUAAUGA
Molecule: ribosomal RNA, 1974 nt
Filed under: gut metagenome
Description: bacterial LSU rRNA
Rfam family: Bacterial large subunit ribosomal RNA
Source: RNAcentral